RNAcentral lists this ribosomal RNA (914 nucleotides) under uncultured Nitrososphaerota archaeon. RNAcentral's name for it is "bacterial SSU rRNA". It matches the Rfam family "Archaeal small subunit ribosomal RNA", at positions 1 to 922 of the family's 1478-position model. The record is from RNAcentral. Lineage: Archaea; Thermoproteati; Nitrososphaerota.
UUCCGGUUGAUCCUGCCGGACCUGACUGCUAUCGGAUUGAUACUAAGCCAUGCGAGUCAUUGUAGCAAUACAAGGCAGACGGCUCAGUAACGCGUAGUCAACCUACCCUAUGGACGGGAAUAACCUCGGGAAACUGAGAAUAAUGCCCGAUAGAACAUUAUGCCUGGAAUGGUUUAUGUUCCAAAUGAUUUAUCGCCGUAGGAUGGGACUGCGGCCUAUCAGUUUGUUGGUGAGGUACUGGCCCACCAAGACUAUUACAGGUACGGGCUCUGAGAGGAGUGGCCCGGAGAUGGGUACUGAGACACGGACCCAGGCCCUAUGGGGCGCAGCAGGCGAGAAAACUUUGCAAUGUGCGAAAGCACGACAAGGUUAAUCCGAGUGGUUUCUGCUAAAGGAACCUUUUGACAGUCCUAGAAACACUGUUGAAUAAGGGGUGGGCAAGUUCUGGUGUCAGCCGCCGCGGUAAAACCAGCACCUCAAGUGGUCAGGAUGAUUAUUGGGCCUAAAGCAUCCGUAGCCGGCUCUGUAAGUUUUCGGUUAAAUCUAUACGCUCAACGUAUAGGCUGCCGGGAAUACUGCAGAGCUAGGGAGUGGGAGAGGUAGACGGUACUCGGUAGGAAGGGGUAAAAUCCUUUGAUCUAUUGAUGACCACCUGUGGCGAAGGCGGUCUACCAGAACACGUCCGACGGUGAGGGAUGAAAGCUGGGGGAGCAAACCGGAUUAGAUACCCGGGUAGUCCCAGCUGUAAACUAUGCAAACUCAGUGAUGCAUUGGCUUGUGGCCAAUGCAGUGCUGCAGGGAAGCCGUUAAGUUUGCCGCCUGGGAAGUACGUACGCAAGUAUGAAACUUAAAGGAAUUGGCGGGGGAGCACCACAAGGGGUGAAGCCUGCGGUUCAAUUGGAGUCAACGCCGGA